GCCAUAGCUUAGUGGUGCAGCAUCUGCUUAGCAUGCAGAAGGUCCCUGGUUCAUUCCCUGGCAUUUUGAGGGGACU
Molecule: non-coding RNA, 76 nt
Organism: Podarcis lilfordi (Lilford's wall lizard)
Lineage: Eukaryota; Metazoa; Chordata; Lepidosauria; Squamata; Lacertidae
Source: the annotation of a GenBank genome assembly